RNAcentral lists this ribosomal RNA (253 nucleotides) under uncultured bacterium. Its description in RNAcentral is "partial 16S ribosomal RNA". It matches the Rfam family "Bacterial small subunit ribosomal RNA", at positions 524 to 776 of the family's 1533-position model. The record is from RNAcentral.
GACGUAGGGUGCGAGCGUUGUCCGGAAUUAUUGGGCGUAAAGAGCUCGUAGGCGGCUUGUUGCGUCGGCUGUGAAAACCCGCGGCUCAACCGUGGGCUUGCAGCCGAUACGGGCAGGCUAGAGUUCGGUAGGGGAGACUGGAAUUCCUGGUGUAGCGGUGAAAUGCGCAGAUAUCAGGAGGAACACCGGUGGCGAAGGCGGCGACCUGGGUCGAUACUGACGCUGAGGUGCGAAAGCGUGGGGAGCAAACAGG